CCCUUAGAUGUUCUGGGCCGCACGCGUGCUACACUGAGUGGAUCAGCGGGUCAGGUUGCGCGAAAGCGUUUCCUAAUCUUUAAAUCCGCUCGUGAUGGGGAUUGACGGUUGCAAUUUUCUGUCAUGAACGAGGAAUACCUUGUAAGCGCGGGUCAUCAUCCCGCGCUGAAUACGUCCCUGCCCUUUGUACACACCGCCCGUCGCUCCUACCGAUUGAGUGGUCCGGUGAGGCUUUGGGAUCUGAGCGGAAAGAGCGUUUCGCUUUUUCUGCUCGGAAAACUCAGUCGAACCUUAUCAUUUAGAGGAAGGAGAAGUCGUAACA
This 322-nucleotide ribosomal RNA is filed under the name uncultured eukaryote. Its description in RNAcentral is "partial 18S ribosomal RNA". It matches the Rfam family "Eukaryotic small subunit ribosomal RNA", at positions 1470 to 1796 of the family's 1831-position model. The record is from RNAcentral.